ACAUUGAGAAAAUCUACCACAGCUGCCCAUUAAGAUGUUGACACUGAUAAGGUCUAAGAUGCUGCAAUCCCUGCUUCCUGUCUGCUCAAUGCUCUACGCUCAGAAUUUAGAACAGCACCUGGCAUAUGCUCUUGCGAUGCUCACAAUAUCAGUGACAUUUGGGGUCAGCUUGGCAAAAAAAGGAAUCUGAACAGCUUGCCUAACCCAGCGGCAGAUGUUCCGCACCAGCUCUGGAUCCUGUUCAAAUAGGCAAGCCAGCUGCUGACUAAUCAUCACAGCCAAGGGUGUCAAGGAAAGGAAACAUGGCGAGGUUACCCCAUUUUGGGGAGUUUAUUACAACUAUACAUGGAAAAAUAAAAAAGUAAGUGAAAUGUUUUUGGUAAAGGAAGGGCUAGGCCUCUGGGGAUUGGGACACCAUAAAUCAUUUUGUAAGACAUACAGCAGCUCUAAAGAGCAGCUCCUGUUUUCUUGUUGUUACUUUAGGAAUGGGUGUCUAUUGUUUUAAGGAUUAAAAACUCUGCAAUACGAAUACAAAAAAAAAAAAAAAA
RNAcentral lists this long non-coding RNA (548 nucleotides) under Homo sapiens (human). RNAcentral describes it as "DPYD antisense RNA 1 (DPYD-AS1)". The record is from RNAcentral. Lineage: Eukaryota; Metazoa; Chordata; Mammalia; Primates; Hominidae.